AGAAAGCUGUCAAGACCAUCCAGACCUGAAAAUACCUGAUAGGGGGAUGGGAAACAAAAACAUGACUUCUCACAGUAGAUCCUUAAUUGGUGAUCGAAAAUUGGUUUAAAAGUGUCCUAACUAAUCUUUUUUGAAGGGAAAGUCAGAAAUACAUUCAAACUCACAGUGUGUACCUCUGAGAGACAGUGGCUCAUUCAAGUAUCACUUAUCCAUUUGGGUCUUCAUUCAUUCACUCAUUCCCCAAAUCCUAACUGAGUACGUACUAUAAAACAGACACUUGCCAGGUAUUGGGGGAUGGAGGGUCUGAGUAGGGGUAAAGAUUAAUUAGGUAAUAAAAUCCAGAUUUCUUUUAAAAACAAUCAGAAAAUCUCACAAGGCUGGACCCACAUUCUCACACAAUAAUGAUUGCUGGCGCUGAGUCACUGGGGACCUACUAGGUGAAGCAGGAAUCCCUGAGUGCCUACAGCUCCCAUCCCCAAAGCUACAUCAUUACAGCAUUCCUUCAUGUUACCUACCUGUCAUUACCUAUGGACGUCUGAAUUCAUGAAUCUGAGCUCACGAAUUCUCAUUGAGAGAACCUUUCCAAUGAAAUACCCAUCGGAUGCCCUUUGCUGAGAGCCCGGAGUAGAACCAGUGCUAAAUUUCUAAGAGAGAGACAAAUACCUAAAUAACUCUAUUGCAAAAUAAAAGGUAUUAUCAGAAAGGGAAGGAUGAAAUGCUUUGAACAUUUAGGGGACAGGGAAAUUGUUUCUGGAGACUGGUACACAUCAGAAAUGGCUUCCUGGCAGAUGUAGCACCGAAUCUGGGACUUGAAUGAUUACAUUUUUUCCAUCAAUUCAACAAAUAUUUGCUAGAAGCCAGCUAGCCAGAAUGCUUUAUAGAAGAUGCACUCAGAAUUGGCUAGUUAUGAGGGAGCUGUUUGUCAACUGCUAAUUUUCUGUGGUUUGCUCUUCUUCCCUUUCCUUUUACAUUCACAAAUUGGGAAAGUUAAACUUGUAGAUCACUUUGGGGAUUGUCAAAGGGUGGCUUCUGGUAGAUACUGGUUUCUCCAAGCCAGGCAAACCUGCAUUCACUCAGCAUAUAUUUUCAAGUCUGGACUAUGUACCGUCCACUAUGACAGGAGUCAGAAAUACAGUGAUGAGUGCUGGCCCUGUCCCAUGUAAUUUACAGCCUUUUUGGAGAGAGAGGCAGUUUCAGUGACCUCACAAAUACAUGCAGGAGUGUAACUGUGAUGAGUACUGCAAAGGGAAGAGGGCCCUUGUUGCUAAAGGACUUAUAAGAGGAGUUGGCCAUGUCAGAAGGAUCAGGGAAGGCCUUACUGAGGCAUGAGGCUUCCUGGUGUGAAUAGCAGUUAACAGGUGGAGGGAGACCAGGUUCCAGGUGGAGGAAAUAACAUGUGUGUGGGCUCCUUUCCAGAAGAGCUGGAGAGAAGAGAGAUGAAAGGAAGGUGAUGCAGGAUGAAGCUGGAGGAGUAAGAAGGGGUUUGAUGAUAUAGCAGGCCCAGUCAAAGAAUCUUGUCUUUAUCCUAAGAGUCAAGAGAAGUUGCUGAGAAUUUUUAAGCAGGAAAGGGUGAUGAUCAUAUUUAUAUUUUGGAAAGAUCCUCCAACCUGCUCUCUGUGUUAAAACAGUUGAGUUCAUAUAUCUUCUGGCUGCAAUAAUGGGAAUGAACACAAGGCAGGACAGAGUACAUGGGGGGAGGCCGGUUAGCAAGCUAGUGUUGAGUUCAGAAGGAAGAUGAUGUUCUUUUGACUAGGAUGCUGGUGAUGGAGGGCAAUGAAAAAAUCUGAGAGAUAAAUAGGAGCUAAAUCAACAAUAUAAUGGGCUGAACAUGGAGGAGAAAAAAAGAAAAGAGUCAAACAUAUCUUCUAGGUUCCUCUCUGCCAUGCAUAAUUGGAUGGAUGGAAUACCAUUCACUAAAAUGAAUCACCACUUGGCUUUGUUCUAAGACUGCUGUGUACAGUUGUGUGAGUUGUGUACUACACCAGGGCAUCUGGCUAAUUAACAAAGGCAGAAGCUGAAAGUCAGCCCAUUCUCUGCUUGCCAAGACACAUAUCCCCAUGUAGGGUCAUGUCUACCCAGGUGGGAGGGGCAGCUUCUUAUAAUUUGCAAAAAAUAGCUAUCCAUUUGGCUAGAUAAAAAGUUAUACCUUUUAACCAGCAUUGCAGGCAUCCAAGAAGGCCCACAUAGGGUACUACGAGUGGGAGGGAGCACUAAAGGUGGUAAAGCCAGGGCCAGGAUACCUGGAUGGUAGAGACAAGGGCUGAAGAAGGUGAUGAGAAAAUGAGAGAGUGCAAAAAAUAUCAAGCUCAGUUUAUUUAUCCUGCAGUGGCUAUCUCUGGCAUUUCCUGGACUCCUGACCCACAGGGAGGGAUCCUGCCUGUGGCUCACCCUUCCUGUUAUUUUAAUUCUUUUGUUGGAUGCCUUUAAUGAAUGUAGACAUGGACACUCAUACAUCAGAGAGCAGAAGUACUUUAAGAACCAUCUAGCCCUACUCUUUCAUUACACGGAUGAGAACGCUGAGGUCCAGGGAAAUGGAAAGCUUUGCUCUGUCUCCUGCUGGGACAAGAUCCUUAAUCGCCUGAUUCCUCACAUCAUGCUGAUCUUUCCUCUAACAAGAAAUUGACUGAGCUUUCACAGACAACGAGGCAACACCUGAAAGAGCAAAGAUACCAAGUCAGAUUCAUCUGAGUUUGGAUCUCUGCUUGCCAUUCUUUGUUGUGUGAUUUUUGACAAGUUACUUAAUCUCUCCAAGCUUCACUUUCCCCACCUGUAAAAUGAAGAUUAAAAACACCUUGAAGGUGGGCUGUGAGGAUUAACGUAAAGCCUUUGGGAUAGGGUCUGAUAUUCACGAGCCACCAUCUAGACCACAUUCUCUACUUAUGUUGACUUCUCCAGCCCCUGUCUCUUCCCUACCCUUUCUCUAUUCUCAAAGGGUUUGCAGGGAUUCUGCAGAAAAUUUAUUCUUUGGAAAUUCUUUGUGGAACUCAACACAAAUUCAGCAUAUCAAAUAAACGAAAUAUUAAGAAAUGACUCUACCUUUUCCCCUAACCUUUCACUUAGGGUUCUGAUCCCUAAGAUGCAAAUGGCAAUUAACCCUGCACCCCACACUAGCCCUCUACCUCUCCCUAUGAUGACUCUGCACAGAUCUCAGGAAGCUUUAUGUGAAAAUAACACCUUGGAACUAGAAGCAGAAGGAACUAGAGAGGUUUCUGCUGGAAGCAUAAUAUAAAAGCCAGUUUUGAAGAAGGCGGGGGGUGGUGGGGGCUCAGAAAAAUGAGCGAUUACCAGAAGGAACUUUUUUUCUCCCAACAUGAUUUUUGAUGGCUCAUAGUUACUUUCAUUUGUUCCGUGACUUUGAGAGGCUGACAAAUAGCAGCCUCAUUCUGAAUGCCUAUUGUUACUCCUGAGGUUUUAUGUAGAGUAGAAAAGAUUGUUUUGAACGUUUCUCAUGGACAAGUGGAAGCUGUACUCUUGCUACAAAUGAUUCAUGUGGGAGAAAUGAUAUAUAAACAAGAUUGCCUGCUUGGAGAGUGGAUGAGAGGGUGAGUUAUUUCAGAAGGGCUCUUCACUUUCAUGCCAGCAAAUGAUAAAAGCUAGCUCUCAGAAUGGCAGGGGUGCUAUGGAAUGGAGGCUUCAGAAACUUUUUGACUCUUACAUUUUAUAGUCAAUGUCAAAAAAAUGUAUUAUAAAUUUCUGACUAAGUCCAGUUACUUUUUCAUGGUGAUGUAGCAAUAGGUUGAUUCAACCUUGGGCCUUGUCCUGUCAGUGUGUUGAGGCUGAAAGAGCCUGGGUUCUGGAAGCUGAGCCUCUGGGGUAAGGUAGGUGCCUAAGGGGCAAAAUUUCAGGAGGCACCUACUCUCAGGGUCAUACAGGCACAGAGUCAGCACUUGCACAAUCCUGUAAGUGAGUGCCUCCUUAAAUUUUGCCCUCUGGGUCACCCUCUUUUCUCACCCAAAUCCGGGCCCUGGAAUUGAAUUAGAAUCAAGACUCCAUCACUUAUUGGUGGUGCAACUUUAGGGAAUCAGUUAGGAUUAGUCUUGGCUAUAACAGAAAAAAGCCAAGUGAGAGUGGCUUAUUUCUCUAUUACAUAAAAAUCUAGAGCAAUACAGGACAGGGCUGGCAUAAUGUCCCCAUUGCAUAAAGUCAUCAGAUCCUAGUUCCUUCCAGUGCACUUUUCUGCCAUUCCAAGGGUUUUGCCUUCAUGAUUCAAAAUGACACAUCCACAUUCUAGGCAGCAGGAUGGAGGAAGGUGACUAAACCAUGUGACUAUAUUACUGAUUUUUAAAAUAUAACAAAAUUAUAAUUAUAAACAUGUAGAAUAGAUUGUAAAAGCCCAAACAAUACAAAAAUAAAAUAUAUUUUUGGAUUGUUAAAUCACCUAUAAUUGUUAUUUCUAUCAGCCCCACUCCAAAUUCCCAGCCUAAGCAUCUAGUUUAUUGCAACUAUUAAGGACUGAGCCAGUCUUGAUUCCCACAAUUGAAAAUGUUUUCAGAAGGAAUUAUUCUUAUGGAAGCUCAUAAAAUGUUCUUAAACCCAUAGGUUUGAAAAUAAGAAAAUUAUCUAGAGUGGAGUGGUAGACAGCUGAGUUAUCUGCCUGCCCAGCACUCACUUCCCAUUCUGGCAGGCAUACUUCAAUUUUGGUUUGGGGAACAAACUACCAGGUUCCUUUGCUUACAGACUUGGUAGAAAUUGUCAUUUGGGCUACAGAUGGGAAGACGUAGAAAUGUAACUCAAACUAGGACCAUAAUAUCCCUCUCUCUUCGAAUAAUUUGUCUCUUGGAUAUGGUUAAAAAGCAUAGACAUAUGACUGGGGAUCAUUUUCUCUAACAGAGACAUGGAACUCAAACAAAUUCCCUGAGCUGCUUUGGAUCCUGUUCUUUCUGAGGCCUGAUACUUCAGCGUCUUCAAAUCUAAUUUGCAAUGCCCCAUAUCCUUCCAGUACACCUCUUCUAUUUAAGUUACCUAGAGUCCAUUUAUGUUGCUUGCAAUCAAGAACCCUAACUGACAAAAGAAGCUAUUCACUUUUCUACCCAAAUAUUUGAAAUUAUACAGGUUGGUCUCUCCUACCUUGUUAAUUAUACCUGUUUUCUUCUCCAGCUUUUCCCAGGUGAGGCCAUUAAUGCCUCCACCCAUAGGCUUAACCCUGCCCUGUUUCUGAGCCAACUCUAAAGUGAGGAAUAGGACUAAAGAGGUGGUGGGUGAGUUGCAUGCAGGAUACCAAAGGAUAAAUCCUGGGGGCUUCCAGAAGUUCCAGAGGAAUUACCUAGAAGGCAUCAUUCCAAGGAGGAAAGAGGCCAAAGCAUCACAUAGACUUCAUAAAACAAGGGACCUUGCCUAUCUUAUUCCCCACUGUAUCCCCAGUACAAAAAAUUAUGUCUGGCUCAUGUAACAUUGGAAGCCAUAUGAUGAGAUAGUAGUGUCACGAGAUAGAAGAAAAUGGGAUCUCUAAGUCACUGGAUGUAGGAGGAUUCCCACUGACUUGACUUUGGGUGGGUAAAAAAUUAAUUUUUGUUCUGUGAAGUCACUGAGAUUUCAGUUUGUUACCACAGCACAGAUUAACCUAUCCUGACUAAUACACCCCAUUUUAUAGAUGAAGAGAUUAAGCCUCUCAGCAAACAAGUAACUUUACCCAAUCAAAGGGCUACUAAGUGACCAAGUCUAUAUGACUCAUGAUAGCCAACCCAUGGCCUCCACCUUUCCUAUGUAUUGGCCCCAGCUUGACAUCCCUGAUCUUGUUGGCUUCCCGACAUUUGCUUCCGUCCAGGUCCUUCCCUCCUUUCCAUCUCCAUCGCUCUUUUUGGCAUGCAUGGAUGAGAAUGCCAUAUGUCCAAGUCUUCAGCUAUGACACCAAAAUCAUAGAAUUGCUUCUAAGGUUGUAAUUCCGUCUUGGAAUUUAUUUUGAGCCUUGGCUGGUUGAGUUGGCCAUUCCUGAAGAUGGCUGCUCAGCAUCUGGCUCCCAUUUGGUCUUUGGCUAAAAAUUCAAAAUUCAUUUUCAUCACUGAGUUUGUAGUAUUUUCUUUCUUUGCUGAGCACAGUGAAGGAAAAGAUGUGGCCAUAAUACUGUAUCUGAAUCACUCAGCUUGGUGGGUUGGAACAACUUGUUCCUAAGAAAAACUUUGUAUUUAACAGAUGUUAUCACAUUCCAGGGACCGUGAUAGAUGCUGGGGAUGCAAAGAGAACUUUACAAAGUAGCCCUUACAUUAAAGGAGUAGCCAACCUAAUGGCCUGCAUGAAGUUUAAAAAUGCAAAAUACUGUGAUAAGCCCAUGGAGAAUCAGCACAUAUAGGCACAGGGAUAACACAAAUGAGAAGGUUGUUUUUCCCACCCAGCAUGAUCCUGAUUCCCACAUGAAUGGGUUUUAAUGAUAUGAUUGGAAGAGUUGCUGACUAUUGAGUGCUGUGCUAAGCGUUUUCCAAAAAUCAACACUUCCCUCCUUUACAACGAUGACACCUAUUCCAUGCAUAAGUAAACUGUUGCCCAGUGAAGGAAAGAGACUUACCCAAAGUCAUGUAUCUAAGAUUUCAACUCAGUUCUGUCUAACGCUUGAUCUUCAAAUCUUCUCCAGCAUAGUAAGCUGGUGCCCCUGUUAAUGUAGAUGAGUUUGGAUGGGUUUAUUCCAAUAUCGCACGUGUCUCUUGUCUCAUUAUCCAGUGAGUUCCCUGAGCCAAGCACUCCGCAGCUCCAUCGCAGCGUGGGCCUCUUGGAAAUUCGGUGCUAGUUCUCAAGGCCUCCUACCUGCUGAACCUUAGUCUUCAUUGCUGAAAUAAGAGCUGUCCUGCAAACAGAGUUUGGCGCUCGCUUUCUGGCCUCCGGCUGGUGGAGCAAGGACGUUUCCAGCACAUAAGAUUCCCCACUCUGUUAAAAAAAAAUGUGUUUAUACUUGGUCCCCUCUGAAGGCGGACGACACCCAUACUUUUGUCCCAGCCCAAUUUGCUGGCUGGGAUUUUUCUCAUCCUUUAAAUCCCGGGAAGCAAGGAACCUGCCCUCUGGCGCCAUCUACCGGCACUGUUUUUCGAGUCCAAGGAGCCCCCUGCGGAGUUGGGAUGUGUUUAGUAAUUGAUUGGAUGAAUCCUGCCACUUCGUUAGUAGAUUCUUAUUUUCUUCACGGACUCUUUACUAAUUAGUAAAGAGAUUAUAUAGCAAAUAUAUUAUCUUACUUUAAAGAGACCAGAGUCUCCUAUCUCUCGCUUCCCCCACCCCAUCAGUUGUGGCAUUCCUUCAUCUUUAAUUUCUUCCUUCGAAAAAUAUUUAUUUUGUUAUUGUAUAGAGAUCAGGGCAUGGGCCACACAGCUGCACACCUGAGCAAACAGAGGGGCUGACUGAUUUGCUGUUGUAAUGAAAAACAUUAGUUUUGGGUUCAUUACUGUGAUUCCACAAUGGGCACCAAAUCCCACUUAAGACCCACCGAAGAAGUCUUCAAAGGGACACGGUUUCAGGUCUGUGCCUGGUGAGCGUGCUGCCUCUUCGAAUCUUUGCACAGAAAUAACCUACGGUUGAAGACUCAGACCUGUCAGAUCAAAACCAACCCUGGCCUCCAGACCUUGAAACAAGUCAAAACAGUGAACCUUACUCAUCCGUUUUCAAAAUAUGGCCUGUUUUCUUUACAAAAUGCAGCAAAGCCUCUCAGAUGGGCGCUGGCUGCAAUAUUUGAUAUAUUAGGGAGAAUCCUGACUCCUUCCAGGUUUCUGCCCAUCUGUUUUAAAUCCAAAUGGCUUGGCAGAGGAUGGUUUUUAGUUAUGUAUUUUUUUCAUUUCAAAUGGAAUUUAAAACAGCAGGGGCAGAAAGCCCAGAUAUGGAUGAGAGAGAAAAUAAAAAGGCCCCUGUAAUUCCCCAUUCGCCUUCUACAUGAAGGAAAAAAUAUCGGCAUUUGUUGUAAACCUACUAUGUGUCAAGGUAUCACUAGGGAGUGUGAUGUUGCUGAGCCAUUGGAAUUUUAUAAAAUUUUAAAUGUUUUUCAUUUUCUUCUUCAGAGGUGGUUUGAUUUCAUGAUCAAGAGCUUGAACUUAAAGUCAAAUCCUUCUCCUGCCUCCUGCAGUCAUGGGGCCUUAGCUAUUCUCUGUAAUGACUCUAGGUCUCAGUUUCCUUGCCUGAGAACAGGCCUGUGAUAAUUACCUUGAUGGGCUAUUGUCAGUUUUAAAUAAGGUAGUGCAGAGGCAACUACCACAGGAAUGGUUCUGCCUUAAGAAUGAACUACGUGUGCAUGUGUCUUUAUAGCAGCAUGAUUUAUAGUCCUUUGGGUAUAUACCCAGUAAUGGGAUGGCU
This 8262-nucleotide long non-coding RNA is filed under the name Homo sapiens (human). RNAcentral's name for it is "HSALNT0292501". The record is from RNAcentral. Lineage: Eukaryota; Metazoa; Chordata; Mammalia; Primates; Hominidae.